AAGCAUCAAGAGGCCAAAAUGCAUCUUCACAUAAAUUUAAAAGUUUAACCACAAUAUUGCCCUUAAUGCAAAAGUUUAACCACAAUAACGCCCGUAAUGCAACUUGAUCUCACAUGAUGCAUAUGUACUAUAAAAGGAGCAUGAUAUUAAUGGUUAGAAAACUGUCAAGAAGAUAUAAUAUAAACAUCCAUACAAGGCAUUUGCACCACUAAGGUAAGCAAAUAAAAUGUAUAAUGACCACUCCCAGCCCCUUAAGAUCUGUAAACUUCAUCUUUCAGUUUAAAUUUUCCUCCAGAUUCUCUAGAGGACCAAGAAAAGAGAUGCUCAAACAGGUAGUCAAUUUAAGUUAAGACUCUUAUUAAAAUAACAACAGCUUAAAAGUGAUUGCAUGGGCAUCCUGGGAUUACUAAAAAUGAAACUGCCUCAUGCAUGGUGGAUGCUGAAGCAUUGAUGUACAACUAGUGAAGCUAAAGCAAAUCAAGAGAAAACAUUUUAUAUUUGAUAUCAUAAAAAAUUGUUCCUAGAUCCUUUAACACAAAAUAAUAUUUUAAACCAAAUAACACAUUGCUGUCUCAUCAAUGGCUGAAACCAAACCCUUUUCUGAAACUGGCAAACUUUUUGUACAAUUGUGUGUCUCCAUUACUUUGGCUAAAAUAGCUCAUGCUGAUCACCAAUUUCUAUAUAUGACCUUGUUAUGAGAUAAUGCAUUCACUACAGAUUGGGCAGAUUUCAAGUGAUUAAAGGUCCCUGAACUCAAUCAUUGAGCAUACAAAAUAUUGUAAAUAAUGAAAAAAUUAAGGAAAUGGGGAAGGUAACAUAUUGAUAUUGCUUAUAACAGGUAGUGCAGUACUUCUUUACAUUUGAGAAUGGGAGAGCAUGUCUAAAACAAGAUAAUGGCAGAAUCUAGUAAAUCCAACUUGCCAUUAUUUAUAACAAUGAGAGA
Molecule: unclassified non-coding RNA, 943 nt
Filed under: Hevea brasiliensis (rubber tree)
Lineage: Eukaryota; Viridiplantae; Streptophyta; Magnoliopsida; Malpighiales; Euphorbiaceae
Source: RNAcentral